Molecule: ribosomal RNA, 557 nt
Filed under: uncultured bacterium
Lineage: Bacteria
Description: partial 16S ribosomal RNA
Rfam family: Bacterial small subunit ribosomal RNA
Source: RNAcentral
UGGGGAAUAUUGCACAAUGGGCGAAAGCCUGAUGCAGCAACGCCGCGUGAGUGAUGAAGGCCUUCGGGUUGUAAGGCUCUGUCUUUUGGGACGAUAAUGACGGUACCAAAGGAGGAAGCCACGGCUAACUACGUGCCAGCAGCCGCGGUAAUACGUAGGUGGCAAGCGUUGUCCGGAUUUACUGGGCGUAAAGGAUGCGUAGGCGGAUUUUUAAGUGAGAUGUGAAAUACCCGGGCUUAACUUGGGUGCUGCAUUUCAAACUGGGAAUCUAGAGUGCGGGAGAGGAGAAUGGAAUUCCUAGUGUAGCGGUGAAAUGCGUAGAGAUUAGGAAGAACACCAGUGGCGAAGGCGAUUCUCUGGACCGUAACUGACGCUGAGGCAUGAAAGCGUGGGUAGCAAACAGGAUUAGAUACCCUGGUAGUCCACGCCGUAAACGAUGAGUACUAGGUGUAGGAGGUAUCGACCCCUUCUGUGCCGCAGUUAACACAAUAAGUACUCCGCCUGGGAAGUACGAUCGCAAGAUUAAAAGCUUAAAUGAAUUGACGGGGUCAUAGCUG